UGGGAGAAGACCUCGUAAGAUGUAUUUGGU
RNAcentral lists this non-coding RNA (30 nucleotides) under Rattus norvegicus (Norway rat). The record is from RNAcentral. Lineage: Eukaryota; Metazoa; Chordata; Mammalia; Rodentia; Muridae.